ACGUUAGCGGCGGACGGGUGAGUAACACGUGGGUAACCUACCUAUAAGACUGGGAUAACUCCGGGAAACCGGGGCUAAUACCGGAUAACACAUGAAACCGCAUGGUUUCAUGAUGAAAGACGGUUUUGCUGUCACUUAUAGAUGGACCCGCGGCGUAUUAGCUAGUUGGUAAGGUAACGGCUUACCAAGGCAACGAUACGUAGCCGGCCUGAGAGGGUGAUCGGCCACACUGGAACUGAGACACGGUCCAG
This 251-nucleotide ribosomal RNA is filed under the name uncultured Staphylococcus sp. RNAcentral describes it as "partial 16S ribosomal RNA". It matches the Rfam family "Bacterial small subunit ribosomal RNA", at positions 89 to 334 of the family's 1533-position model. The record is from RNAcentral. Lineage: Bacteria; Bacillati; Bacillota; Bacilli; Caryophanales; Staphylococcaceae.